GUGCCAGCCGCCGCGGUAAGACGAACCGUGCAAACGUUAUUCGGAAUCACUGGGCUUAAAGGGCGCGUAGGCGGGCCGCCAGGUCCGGGGUGAAAGCCUCCAGCUCAACUGGAGAAGUGCCUUGGAUACCGGCGGCCUCGAGGGAGGUAGGGGCGUGCGGAACUUCGGGUGGAGCGGUGAAAUGCGUAGAUAUCCGAAGGAACACCGGUGGCGAAAGCGGCGCGCUGGAUCUCUUCUGACGCUGAGGCGCGAAAGCCAGGGGAGCAAACGGGAUUAGAAACCCCCGUAGUCC
This 292-nucleotide ribosomal RNA is filed under the name uncultured bacterium. RNAcentral describes it as "partial 16S ribosomal RNA". It matches the Rfam family "Bacterial small subunit ribosomal RNA", at positions 505 to 796 of the family's 1533-position model. The record is from RNAcentral.